UACAGAGGUCUCAAGCGUUGUUCGGAUUCAUUGGGCGUAAAGGGCGCGUAGGCGGUCAGCACAAGUCAGUUGUGAAAUCUCCGGGCUUAACUCGGAAAGGUCAACUGAUACUGUGCGACUAGAGUGCGGAAGGGGCAACUGGAAUUCUCGGUGUAGCGGUGAAAUGCGCAGAUAUCAGGAGGAACACCGGUGGCGAAGGCGGGUCUCUGGGCCGUAACUGACGCUGAGGAGCGAAAGCGUGGGGAGCGAACAGG
Molecule: ribosomal RNA, 254 nt
Filed under: uncultured bacterium
Lineage: Bacteria
Description: partial 16S ribosomal RNA
Rfam family: Bacterial small subunit ribosomal RNA
Source: RNAcentral